AGAGUUUGAUCAUGGCUCAGGACGAACGCUGGCGGCGCGCCUAACACAUGCAAGUCGAACGAGCGAGAGAGAGCUUGCUUUCUCGAGCGAGUGGCGAACGGGUGGGUAACGCGUGAGGAACCUGCCUCAAAGAGGGGGACAACAGUUGGAAACGACUGCUAAUACCUCAUAAGCCCACGGCUCGGCAUCGAGCAGAGGGAAAAGGAGCAAUCCGCUUUGAGAUGGCCUCGCGUCCGAUUAGCUAGUUGGUGAGGUAAUGGCCCACCAAGGCGACGAUCGGUAGCCGGACUGAGAGGUUGAACGGCCACAUUGGGACUGAGACACGGCCCAGACUCCUACGGGAGGCAGCAGUGGGGAAUAUUGCACAAUGGGGGAAACCCUGAUGCAGCGACGCCGCGUGGAGGAAGAAGGUCUUCGGAUUGUAAACUCCUGUUGUUGAGGAAGAUAAUGACGGUACUCAACAAGGAAGUGACGGCUAACUACGUGCCAGCAGCCGCGGUAAAACGUAGGUCACAAGCGUUGUCCGGAAUUACUGGGUGUAAAGGCAGCGCAGGCGGGAAGACAAGUUGGAAGUGAAAUCCAUGGGCUCAACCCAUGAACUGCUUUCAAAACUGUUUUUCUUGAGUAGUGCAGAGGUAGGCGGAAUUCCCGGUGUAGCGGUGGAAUGCGUAGAUAUCGGGAGGAACACCAGUGGCGAAGGCGGCCUACUGGGCACCAACUGACGCUGAGGCUCGAAAGUGUGGGUAGCAAACAGUAUUAGAUACCCUGGUAGUCCACACUGUAAACGAUGAUUACUAGGUGUUGGAGGAUUGACCCCUUCAGCGCCGCAGUUAACACAAUAAGUAAUCCACCUGGGGAGUACGACCGCAAGGUUGAAACUCAAAGAAAUUGACGGGGGCCCGCACAAGCGGUGGAGCAUGUGGUUUAAUUCGAAGCAACGCGAAGAACCUUACCAGGUCUUGACAUCUUCUGACAAUUCCAGAGAUGGAACGUUCCCUUCGGGGACAGAAUGACAGGUGGUGCAUGGUUGUCGUCAGCUCGUGUCGUGAGAUGUUGGGUUAAGUCCCGCAACGAGCGCAACCCUUAUUGUCAGUUGCCAUCAUUAAGUUGGGCACUCUGGCGAGACUGCCGGUGACAAACCGGAGGAAGGUGGGGAUGACGUCAAAUCAUCAUGCCCCUUAUGACCUGGGCUACACACGUGCUACAAUGGACGGUACAACGAGUCGCUAACUCGCGAGGGCAAGCUAAUCUCUUAAAGCCGUUCUCAGUUCGGAUUGCAGGCUGCAACUCGCCUGCAUGAAGUCGGAAUCGCUAGUAAUCGCGAAUCAGCAUGUCGCGGUGAAUACGUUCCCGGGCCUUGUACACACCGCCCGUCACACCAUGAGAGUUUGUAACACCCAAAGUCGGUGGGGUAACCUUUUGGAGCCAGCCGCCUAAGGUGGGACAGAUGAUUGGGGUGAAGUCGUAACAAGGUA
This 1475-nucleotide ribosomal RNA is filed under the name metagenome. Its description in RNAcentral is "bacterial SSU rRNA". It matches the Rfam family "Bacterial small subunit ribosomal RNA". The record is from RNAcentral.